GCCGAUAUGGCGGAACUGGCAGACGCACAUGACUCAAAAUCAUGCGGGAAACCAUGUGGGUUCGAGUCCCACUAUCGGCACCA
RNAcentral lists this transfer RNA (83 nucleotides) under Clostridium taeniosporum. RNAcentral's name for it is "tRNA-Leu". It matches the Rfam family "tRNA". From Rfam's summary of the family: Transfer RNA (tRNA) molecules are approximately 80 nucleotides in length. Their secondary structure includes four short double-helical elements and three loops (D, anti-codon, and T loops). Further hydrogen bonds mediate the characteristic L-shaped molecular structure. tRNAs have two regions of fundamental functional importance: the anti-codon, which is responsible for specific mRNA codon recognition, and the 3' end, to which the tRNAs corresponding amino acid is attached (by aminoacyl-tRNA synthetases). tRNAs cope with the degeneracy of the genetic code in two manners: having more than one tRNA (with a specific anti-codon) for a particular amino acid; and 'wobble' base-pairing, i.e. permitting non-standard base-pairing at the 3rd anti-codon position. RNAcentral also lists the same sequence under 2 other names. Lineage: Bacteria; Bacillati; Bacillota; Clostridia; Eubacteriales; Clostridiaceae. The record is from RNAcentral.